GAUGAACGCUGGCGGCGUGCUUAACACAUGCAAGUCGAACGAGAAGUGGAGACGGAAACCUUCGGGCGGAAGACUUUAUUUCGAGUGGCGGACGGGUGAGUAACGCGUGGGUAACCUGCCUCAUACAGGGGGAUAACAGUUGGAAACGACUGUUAAUACCGCAUAAGACCGCAGCACCGCAUGGUGCGGGGGUAAAAACUCCGGUGGUAUGAGAUGGACCCGCGUUCGAUUAGCCAGUUGGCGGGGUAACGGCCCACCAAAGCGACGAUCGAUAGCCGAUCUGAGAGGAUGACCGGCCACAUUGGGACUGAGACACGGCCCAAACUCCUACGGGAGGCAGCAGUGGGGAAUAUUGCACAAUGGGGGAAACCCUGAUGCAGCGACGCCGCGUGAGUGAAGAAGUAUUUCGGUAUGUAAAGCUCUAUCAGCAGGGAAGAAAAUGACGGUACCUGAGGAAGAAGCCCCGGCUAACUACGUG
RNAcentral lists this ribosomal RNA (478 nucleotides) under uncultured bacterium. Its description in RNAcentral is "partial 16S ribosomal RNA". It matches the Rfam family "Bacterial small subunit ribosomal RNA", at positions 28 to 507 of the family's 1533-position model. The record is from RNAcentral.